RNAcentral lists this unclassified non-coding RNA (358 nucleotides) under soil metagenome. Its description in RNAcentral is "partial contains 5.8S ribosomal RNA, internal transcribed spacer 2, and large subunit ribosomal RNA". The stretch from base 1 to 120 matches the Rfam family "5.8S ribosomal RNA", at positions 35 to 154 of the family's 154-position model. The record is from RNAcentral.
GAUGAAGAACGUAGUGAAAUGCGAUAAGUAAUGCGAAUUGCAGAAUUCAGUGAAUCAUCGAAUCUUUGAACGCACAUUGCGCCCGUCAGUAUUCUGGCGGGCAUGCCUGUUCGAGCGUCAUUACGCCCCUCAAGUCCCCUGUGGACUUGGUGUUGGGGAUCGGCGAGGCUGGUUUUCCAGCACAGCCGUCCCUUAAAUUAAUUGGCGGUCUCGCCGUGGCCCUCCUCUGCGCAGUAGUAAAACACUCGCAACAGGAGCCCGGCGCGGUCCACUGCCGUAAAACCCCCCAACUUUUUAUAGUUGACCUCGAAUCAGGUAGGACUACCCGCUGAACUUAAGCAUAUCAAUAAGCGGAGGA